Long non-coding RNA from Alexandromys fortis (reed vole), 1745 nucleotides. RefSeq lists it as uncharacterized. The transcript has 5 exons. The record is from RefSeq and is a predicted model, not a curated record. Lineage: Eukaryota; Metazoa; Chordata; Mammalia; Rodentia; Cricetidae.
AGAACACAGCAGAAAGGGAAUUGGAAGGAUUAAAGGAGUCAGAGGAGUCAGGGACACCUCAAGAACAUGAAAUACACAAUGAACUAAGCCGUGAAUCGACGUACAGAGACUGCGUGGGUCUGAGGCUAUUCAUCUACAUUCCUGUUUUGUGCUAGUGACAUUCUGUUUCUGAGCUGUUUUUGAAAUAGAAUUUGAAAUCAGGCACACAUGGUUUUACUAAAAACAAGAGAGACUUUGAAAAGCCCACAAAAAUAAUCAUCAGCUUUGAUCUGAUGUCACCAGAAUAGGCCUCUAUGUAGCACCAGAGGAGAAUUCUUCACUCUCGAGUCUGGGCUCGGCAACUCUGCAAAGGAGUUCAGAGAUCCACAAUCAAAGCCUUCAAUGGGAGCAGAGAAAUGACAUAAGAGCCAUUUCAGCGAGACCAGAGAGCUGAGCUCCAGGAGACAAAGACAAGAAAAGAAAAGCAGAAUGCUGUCUGAAAAUGGAAUUGUUGACAGAAUGACCCAAGUAAUACCAAUUAGGCUUGGUGGAUAGUACAGCAGGGAGAAGCUCUUCUUGUCUCUUCUGAGUCCCUGGAAUAUACCAGAAAUCUUAGAUGUAUUAUGUUCAACACAAAACAUCCUCAAAAUGUGAUGAAGUAAAAGGCAUAAAAAUGUACCUAUAUGAACACAUAUGUAUGUGCUUUGUAUAUUUAUGACCCCACAUGUGUGGGCUUAUGUAUGUAUAUACAAUUACAUGUGUAUAUGCCCCAGAAACAUUUUCUUAAAAUAUUAAAAAGAAAUAAUUUUCUACAUUCAUUUCCACUUUUCAGUUAUUUGGGAGAUAAAUAUAUUGAAGACAUUCAUGAACAGUUUUUGCUGCAUUUGGGCUUAUUGUAUGUCCAACAAGACUUAAACCUGCUGUGAGUGUCUCAGACCUUAACCAGAAAAUUAAAUGAGGCACUUUAAGCAAAAAUACCUCAAGGAAGUUUUGAAAACAUCUGAUAUGUUGUAUAUAAGUAAAAUGGUAUAUUUGCAUAUGAUGUUGUGUAAACUUAAUAUUCUCUAGCAUGCGAUACAAUGGAAAGUAAGUACAUAAAGAAACAUCCAAUCACACAACAUGAUCAUAUAUUUAUAGUUUUUAUUUCUUCCUGUUCAGAGGGAUGAAAAAUAGGGAGGAAAUAUUUGUAAAAUCUUCUUGUAUGCUAUAUAUUUUGUUUGCCAAUUGAGGAGUCAAUUUCAAGUAAAUAUUGAGUAACUGCAUUACAUCAAGUCUCCCUAAGAAAAGUGUAAAACCCAUUCCUGGUCACAAGGUUAAUUAAAAAAAAAACAAAAAACAGGAGAACCCAAAGAAAAACAGAUAGGCAUCCUCCUGAAUAUUAACCUUCAUCAGGCGAUGAAAGGUGACAGAGACCCACAUUGGAGCACCGGACUGAAAUCUCAAGGUCCAAACCAGGAGAAGAAGGAGAGAGAGCACGAGCAAGGAACUCAGGACCGCGAGGGGUGCACCCACACACUGAGACAAUGGGGAUGUUCUAUCGGGAACUCACCAAGGCCAGCUGGCCUAGAUCUGAAAAAGCCUGGGAUAAAACUGGACUCGCUGAACAUAGUGGACAAUGAGGACUACUGAGACUCAAGAACAAUGGCAAUAGGUUUUUGAUCCUACUGCACGUACUGGCUUUGUGGGAGCCUAGGCAGUUUGGAUGCUCACCUUACUAGACCUGGAUGGAGGUGGGUGGCCCUUGGACUUCCCACAGGGCAUGGAAC